Molecule: ribosomal RNA, 451 nt
Filed under: uncultured bacterium
Lineage: Bacteria
Description: partial 16S ribosomal RNA
Rfam family: Bacterial small subunit ribosomal RNA
Source: RNAcentral
AGCGAACGCUGGCGGCAGGCUUAACACAUGCAAGUCGAACGCUCGUAGCAAUACGGGAGUGGCAGACGGGUGGGUAACGCGUGGGAAUAUGCCUUUUGGUUCGGAAUAACUCAGGGAAACUUGAGCUAAUACCGGAUAAGCCCGUGAGGGGGAAGAUUUAUCGCCAAAAGAUUAGCCCGCGUCCGAUUAGCUAGUUGGUGAGGUAAUGGCUCACCAAGGCGACGAUCGGUAGCUGGUCUGAGAGGAUGAUCAGCCACAUUGGGACUGAGACACGGCCCAAACUCCUACGGGAGGCAGCAGUGGGGAAUAUUGGACAAUGGGCGCAAGCCUGAUCCAGCCAUGCCGCGUGAAUGAUGAAGGCCUUAGGGUUGUAAAGCUCUUUUGUCCGGGAAGAUAAUGACGGUACCGGAAGAAUAAGCCCCGGCUAACUUCGUGCCAGCCGCCGCCGUAA